GGCCCCGUCGUCUAGUGGUCCAGGACGUCUGGUUCUCAUCCAGAAAAUCGCCGGUUCGACUCCGGCCGGGGUCACCA
RNAcentral lists this transfer RNA (77 nucleotides) under Candidatus Nomurabacteria bacterium. RNAcentral describes it as "tRNA-Glu". It matches the Rfam family "tRNA". From Rfam's summary of the family: Transfer RNA (tRNA) molecules are approximately 80 nucleotides in length. Their secondary structure includes four short double-helical elements and three loops (D, anti-codon, and T loops). Lineage: Bacteria; Candidatus Nomuraibacteriota. The record is from RNAcentral.